UGAACGCAGAAUAUUUCCAGAGGGCAACAGGGCCCAAAUGGCCAGAGAACUGUACUAGCCUAAAGCCAUGGCCACAAGCAGCAAAGGGAUCCGAGACAGACUGCUGCCUCCCCUGGGGAUGGGAUGGAGGCUGUGACACACCAAAGGCAGAACACUCCAGAGCUGCAGGCUCUCUCCAGAAAAGGCCACACUCCCAUUGCGCCUGCUGGGUGCCUGAUGCCAUUCAAACCAUGAGUAGAGCACCAGGCACCCUUUCCUAUCAGCCUCAUCUCAGUGGCCAGAGAUUAAGAUAAACUCUUCCCCCUCCCACCCAGGGCCUCCCAACUCCACCUACAGAUCGGGGGCCCUGCUGCCCACAUGGAUCAUGCUGCCCUCGUGAACAAGUGACGCCUGUAGAGAACCUGUUGUGAAGCGUAAGGACACAGGGAAGCUAAAGGCCAAACAGCUGAGCAAAGGAGAAGGGAGAGAGAGGUAGGAACGCACCACGUGCUACUCAGCUGCUGGGCCCUGACAGCCAGCUUACAGCGUCACAGCCUCAACAGAUAUGACAUAACCACUGAAACACCAGAGGGGACAUAACUCAAGCGCAAUUACUCCCCUGAAACCUUACACUGUCACUGCAGGGGGCAGGAGCAGGGGACCAGGCUGGUGACUGUGACCCCACCCGCAUCAGAGCUUGUGACACGGGGCCAUGGCCUGACACUCCUAUCUCCCAGCACACACAAGGGCUGGCCCCAGACCAGGGAAGGAGGAGAGCACUCCAGUCACAAGGGCCAUCAGAGCCUGGAGGAGAAUGCUUUCAGACAGACACACAGUACACAGGACAUCUGCAAGCCACAGCAGUCUAGAGCUGUCAACCGGGAAUGUUUACGUAACACAGACAAAAAGAUAUGAUGAAAAAGGAACCUCAGGCUCAAGAGAAGUUUGUUUUCCAGCAGAUAGUUCCCAUUGUGUCAGGAACCUGCACUUACAAAGAUGGCCAUGGAAGCAAACUUGCUAGGUGAUGCACUGGAGGUUUCUUCCCCUCAGGUGGGGAAGGGAGGUGGACUGGAAACAGGAAGGAGAUUUCUGCACAUGGCAACCUUCUCUCCAUUUUCAGAAGGAACCUUAAUACUGAGCAUCCUCUGCAGCCAGGAGU
Molecule: long non-coding RNA, 1138 nt
Organism: Mauremys mutica (yellowpond turtle)
Lineage: Eukaryota; Metazoa; Chordata; Testudines; Geoemydidae
Exons: 4
Source: RefSeq, a predicted model, not a curated record